Molecule: ribosomal RNA, 194 nt
Filed under: uncultured Desulfocapsa sp.
Lineage: Bacteria; Pseudomonadati; Thermodesulfobacteriota; Desulfobulbia; Desulfobulbales; Desulfocapsaceae
Description: partial 16S ribosomal RNA
Rfam family: Bacterial small subunit ribosomal RNA
Source: RNAcentral
UCCUCGAUGGCCUUUAUGACCAGGGCUACACACGUACUACAAUGGCCGGUAUAAAGGGCAGCGACACAGCGAUGUGAAGCGAAUCCCGAAAAGCCGGUCUCAGUCCGGAUUGGAGUCUGCAACUCGACUCCAUGAAGUUGGAAUCGCUAGUAAUCGCAGAUCAGCACGCUGCGGUGAAUACGUUCCCGGGCCUU